CCUACGGGUGGCAGCAGUGGGGGAUAUUGCACAAUGGGGGGAACCCUGAUGCAGCGACGCCGCGUGGGUGAAGAAGCGCCUCGGCGCGUAAAGCCCUGUCAGCAGGGAAGAAAAUGACGGUACCUGAAGCAGAAGCACCGGCUAACUACGUGCCAGCAGCCGCGGUAAUAAGUAGGGGGCAAGCGUUAUCCGGAUUUACUGGGUGUAAAGGGGGCGCAGACGGCGAUGCAGGCAAGGAGUGAAAGCCCGGGGCCCAACCCCGGGACUGCUCUUGGAACUGCGUGGCUGGAGUGAAGGAGGGGCAGGCGGAAUGCCUGGUGUAGCGGUGAAAUGCGUAGAUAUCAGGAGGAACACCGGUGGCGAAGGCGGCCUGCUGGACUGCAACUGACGUUGAGGCCCGAAAGCGUGGGGAGCAAACAGGAUUAGAUACCCCAGUAGUC
RNAcentral lists this ribosomal RNA (440 nucleotides) under uncultured bacterium. RNAcentral describes it as "partial 16S ribosomal RNA". It matches the Rfam family "Bacterial small subunit ribosomal RNA", at positions 338 to 795 of the family's 1533-position model. The record is from RNAcentral.